Long non-coding RNA from Sphaerodactylus townsendi, 1980 nucleotides. RefSeq lists it as uncharacterized. The transcript is spliced from 2 exons. The record is from RefSeq and is a predicted model, not a curated record. NCBI's taxonomy places the organism in Eukaryota, Metazoa, Chordata, Lepidosauria, Squamata, Sphaerodactylidae.
UCCAGGCAGGAGGGACCUGGGGCAGAAGCAGAAGGUCUCCAAUGCAGCUUCUGGAAGGGACAGACAGAAUUCUGGGCCACCAAUCCAGACCACGGGCGGCAUAGCAGCCGCCGCAACCUGAGGCAGCAGCGGGAGAAAUGGAGCGUGUUUCCUGAAGCAAUGAAGGAGAGGGCUUUUCCAGGUGGAAGACGAAAGGUCCGACCCGGCAGCUUCUGCAUUCCUACUUGCCAGAGGUCCAGCCAGUGACCCAAAAUGGGAUAGCCUUCAAGAACCUGGCAGUGCAACCUGGACUUCUUUGGCCCCUGCUGUGGAGAUGGCGAUGUGGGAGCCUCCCACGAUCAUCGCAGUGAGCAUCUUCUGCUGCGUUUGUCUCCUGCACUUGUUGGCUUUCAUUUACGCCAUCUGCUUCCGCAGCCAGAGGCACCCCAGCCCAGCCUCCACCCAGAAGUCAUCAGAGGAGAAGGAGGUGGUCACGUUCCAUCCUUCCUCCUGUGGCCCCAGUGUUUACAGCCAGGUGGAAAUCAAGGGGAAUGAGAACCGUCUGAAGAAUGCACCCUGCUGGAGCAGCUUUUAAGGCUAUGCUUCAGCCAUGCGUGGGCACAGCCGGGGGAAAGGAGCACCUGGACACAUCAUCUAGCAUAUGGAACAUCUUUUCAAAGGCUUGCUGUCUCCAGGGGUCUACCAGCAAGAUUGCUCUUGUCCUGCCCUCUCCAGUGAUACUAGUACUCAGCUCAAGAUUGGCAGAAGACCAAGACUUACAAAAGAAUGCCCCUCUUUACACAACGUAUCUGUGAACUUACUGUCACAGGAUGGAACAACAAUCAUCGGCACAGGUGGCUUUAGAAGGGGAUUAGACAAGUUCAUGGAGGAUCGGUCUGUCAAUGACCAGUAACCACAGUAACUAAGUGGAACAUCCAUGUUUAGAAGCAGUGUAUCUGAAUGCCUGUGUUAGAGGCUCCAAAACAAAGGGAGGCUUUGGCAUCUGUGUGUCCGCUUGGGGUCUUCAGGAAUGUUUAGUCAGCCACUGUUACAAACUUUAGGGGGGGACAGUUUAGGUAUCUCCUUAGCAGAUUUCUCACAUCAGUUGGACUAAUCUAAUUCUUCUUCUCUGUGCAACAAUGGGAGUGCAACAGUAUCAAGACUGUAAGUGCUAGUAACACCUGCCUUACCCUUCCCAUCCUUCCUCCAAGGAAGUCAGGGUAGCACAACAACCUUGUGAGGUAGGUUGGGCUUAGACUGGCUAAGACACUCACUGAGUAUUUUACAGCAAAGUAGGUAUUUGAACCCAAGUAUCUCAGGUCUUAGUCCAGCAUUUGAACCACUUCGCAACAGUGGAUCAGCUCUCCAUUUACAUUUGCAGUAUUAAUUUUACUUCAUUAAAGAUAUAUUUACUGCAGAAAACCACAUUUGUGUCACCCAGCUACACAAACACCAUAAUAAUAUAUAAUAUACUCACUUGUUUCUUCACAUAUAAGAAAUAGUUCACAUAGUAUGUAUUUCUGGCUUGCAUUUAUACCUGAAUCUUGGAUGUAUCAUCCUAAAGUGCAUUACAGGUGAUAGACCAGCACAAAAGUAUACUGAAAUGCAUGGAUGUGUUAAUCUCUCUAGUAGCUGCCAGUGGUGCUUUUGUGUUUCUUAACGCUAGUGUGAAAUCCUCUAGUUAAAGAUAAAGGCAGCAAUUUUAGUUAGGGAUCUCAAGAUAGGAGAAAGGACAGAUUUUAUGUCACAUUUAGGUAAUUCUUCUUCUUCUUCAGUUUUUAGGCUUAAUGUUUUAAAUGAGUUAUAUGUUGUUAAAACUAGUAAUAGUUAAUUGAACCACUAUUUUGAAAACAAAGUGUAAUCAGAUUUAGAUUUUAUCAUGUGUUUAUGUAUUUUGUAUCUUAAACUUUCUAGGCUAAAUGUUUCUUUGGGCUAUUGAUGGAUUAUGACUAUGUAUGCAUAUAUGGCCUUUGGCUAAUAAACACUUAUUGAUUGACUAUC